UCGUACGACAGGGAUAUGGAUGUGGGGCUGAUUAAUGCUGAUAGCAACCCCAGCCCCUGCUGUAUUUUAAGGAUUUUGUCAGAAGCAGCAGAUUGCUAACAGUUAUUUGGUUAUAUGGUCAUCUUAACGAAGUCCAGCAAAAUUCCAGAGCUAUAAAGUCAUCACAAACAAGUUCCAGAUGAUUGCUGACAGAUUUUCCAAAUAUGCUAAAAAAGGGUCUACAACAAGGGUCUACUUGCAUCAGUUUCUGAAAGCAAUAUACUCUGCCUCUUCAAAAGGAACUCAACAAUUUCCUGUGCAUUAUACAGAAUUAUAGACAACAUUUAUGUGGGCUGCUGCUGAUCUUCAUCCUUCCCUCUUAAAUUUCAGAUAAACCUUUUGAGUAAGCCAAUUUCCUUUGCUAUGAGCUCACCCCGUACCUUGGUGCCUUGGAGAACGAGAACCUCACACACAUCCCUACUACACGACCCUACCCUCAUCAGUAUGACAUCCUAAGUAGAGAAAGAGACCAUGUGUAAUGGGAAAAAAAGGAGAAGGAGAAGGAAGAGAAGGAGGAAGAGGAGGAGGAGAAGAAAAAGAAAUAAGGAG
RNAcentral lists this long non-coding RNA (588 nucleotides) under Sarcophilus harrisii (Tasmanian devil). RNAcentral describes it as "lncRNA (ENSSHAG00000027417.1)". The record is from RNAcentral. Lineage: Eukaryota; Metazoa; Chordata; Mammalia; Dasyuromorphia; Dasyuridae.